Rattus norvegicus (Norway rat) is the source of this 1887-nucleotide non-coding RNA. Lineage: Eukaryota; Metazoa; Chordata; Mammalia; Rodentia; Muridae. The record is from RefSeq and is a predicted model, not a curated record.
GGUUCCAGAGCUGGAACCUAUGAGAUCCUUAGAGACACUACACAUUGUUCUGGAGGGCGGGGGUGGGGUGGGGAAUGGGGAUGGGGUUACUAUCUGAUGAUGGUAGACGCAAGCAGAAGGGUGAGAACAGAAGGCGAUCGUUUCCCUCACUGGCAACAUCAACGUUACCAACAUGAUCACCAUUACCAACCCGAUCACCAUCAACGCCACUAUAAGCAUCACCUGAGUCAUCCUCGCCAUUCAUCACCGUUAUCAUCACCGUCAUCGACACCCCAUCAGCACCACUCUCAUCGUCACCAUCCCAUUUGCCACCCACAACAUCAUCACCGUCACCAUUGUUGAGCCUGAGAAGGGAACGUUUCCACCAUAAGUAGCUAAUGUUUUCGUUCUUGUCUCCCUCGAGAGUUCGGAGGCCAAGCGAAGCUCAUGGACAUUUAAUUUCUCUGCACAAUUGGGUGGUUCUGUUUCCCCACGAUGUGAUUCUUUUAAACUGACCCAUUUCAUACCGUUUUGCCUGGAGCUAGAGCGAUGUGUAUUUCUGGACUCUUCCACCUGGCAGCAGUUCCAAGUGUCUCUCUUCUCUUCUCUUCUCUCUCUCUCUCUCUCUCUCUCUCUCUCUCUCUCUCUCUUUCUUCUUCUCUUCUUCCUCUUCCUCUUCUCUUUCUCUCUCUCUCACUCUCUUCCUCUCUCUCUCUCCCUCUCUCUAAGAUGGUCUCUCUAACUCACCCCACAUUCCUCCCAGGUCCCUGUUGUGUCUGUCCGCUGGUCACACCGCCAUACCCAUUCUUGUCGACUUAUGGGUUUGCUUUUCAGUGCUAUUUGAUUUAGAUCUUUUUAUAUAUAAUUUGCCAAUUUCUCUCUUAAAUGGGGUCAGUGUUAUGAAUACUAAUAAGACUUGGAUUUUACUAAUGUCCCAGCUCAAUCAACCCAUAGACCCAAAGAAUAUUUUUUAAUCAAACGGAAUUCAGAAUUCAAGAUUUCUCUUCUACCUCCGAAGAACAGAAAUCUUUAUCCACACGAGCUGAAGUCACGAUGUUUAAUAGACAUUAUUUAGCAAUGGUACAGGAGUUACUGAGUAUCUACACGGUCACUUCGACCCUCUGGCUUCUCCCUGUGAUGGUUGGUGUCAAAGAUGGAGAACUCUCAUCUCCAGCCCACGGAGAGGCCUGCUGCCAGAGCUGGAGUCAAGAAUCGCAAGUCUUAGCCAACCUGUUGAUGAUCAGUAAUACAUGGCAACUAAGUUAACUCGGCUCUUGACUAUAAAUGCUGGCUGGUUCUGGGCAGUAAAAAGAGCUUCUCGAUCCAGUGGAUGGAGACCAAGCAGUCAGCUCUGACUGGGGAAUAUCAGAGUCAGGCUGGAUGUCAAGGUUGGCCAACACUGAAUGACAGGGGCUGGGAAAGAUGACCCAGUGAUCCCAAGAGCCUCCAACUCAAUACAGCAGACCUAAGCAGAGACACUCAGACUCGCCUCUCUUAGCUCUCCAUCAAGACAACUCAGCAAAUGCCAAUAACCUAACUUUCCCUCAGGGCACUUUGUGGCAUACACAGUUCGUUUCUUCUUCAGCACUGUGGGUAAGCUUGUGAACCCAUUUCCAGAUAAAGGAUCAGGCUGAGAGAGAGAGAGAGAGCUGUUGCAGAAAAUAUUUAAUCUCAGCCUGGGGUUUCUACUCUGCCUUUGACUACUUAGUUCCCAGUUAAAUGACACCUACAUUUUUUUUUUCCGGAGCUGGGGACCGAACGCAGGGCCUUGCGCUUGCUAGGCAAGUGCUCUACCACUGAGCUAAAUCCCCAACCCCCUACAAUGUUUAUAUUUACAAGCCUUACUCAACACUAGAGCUGGGCAGCUAUCUACCCUGUAUGCUAUUAAAAUCUAUUUCCUAUCAAUAA